RNAcentral lists this ribosomal RNA (301 nucleotides) under uncultured bacterium. Its description in RNAcentral is "partial 16S ribosomal RNA". It matches the Rfam family "Bacterial small subunit ribosomal RNA", at positions 509 to 807 of the family's 1533-position model. The record is from RNAcentral.
CAGUCGCCGCGGUAAAACGGAGGGUGCAAGCGUUAAUCGGAAUUGCUGGGCGUAAAGCGUGCGUAGGCGGUUCGUUAAGUCUGUUGUGAAAGCCCCGGGCUCAACCUGGGAAUGGCAAUGGAUACUGGCGAGCUAGAGUGUGUCAGAGGAUGGUGGAAUUCCUGGUGUAGCGGUGAAAUGCGUAGAUAUCAGGAGGAACACCUGUGGCGAAAGCGGCUCACUGGACCAUAACUGACGCUGAGGCACGAAAGCUAGGGGAGCAAACAGGAUUAGAUACCCCUGUAGUCCCUGUCUCUUAUAC